Molecule: ribosomal RNA, 253 nt
Filed under: uncultured bacterium
Lineage: Bacteria
Description: partial 16S ribosomal RNA
Rfam family: Bacterial small subunit ribosomal RNA
Source: RNAcentral
UACGAAGGGGGCUAGCGUUGCUCGGAAUCACUGGGCGUAAAGGGUGCGUAGGCGGGUCUUUAAGUCAGGGGUGAAAUCCUGGAGCUCAACUCCAGAACUGCCUUUGAUACUGAGGAUCUUGAGUUCGGGAGAGGUGAGUGGAACUGCGAGUGUAGAGGUGAAAUUCGUAGAUAUUCGCAAGAACACCAGUGGCGAAGGCGGCUCACUGGCCCGAUACUGACGCUGAGGCGCGAAAGCGUGGGUAGCAAACAGG